CGCGGGGAGGUGCGAUGGCGGACCGCGAGGGGAGGGGCGCUUCACGCCGGAGCCGGUAGCAAUUAUGAGUACACAGAAAGGACAGCUUUCGUGACUCUCAGAUGUAGAGCCUGCAACACACGAGCCACGUAUGAUACCAGAUGACUUCUAAGCCUCCUUAAUGGCUGGGUAAGGCUCACGCCCCUUGCUGAAGUCAGCUACUAUGAAGUCUGUUUCCACUUUAUAGGUUUCAGAUAUGCUUCUAGAUACAGCCUCCAGCUUCGCUUUGUUUCGGCUGAUUAAGAUGAUG
Long non-coding RNA from Chroicocephalus ridibundus (black-headed gull), 289 nucleotides. RefSeq lists it as uncharacterized. NCBI's taxonomy places the organism in Eukaryota, Metazoa, Chordata, Aves, Charadriiformes, Laridae. The transcript has 3 exons. The record is from RefSeq and is a predicted model, not a curated record.